RNAcentral lists this transfer-messenger RNA (125 nucleotides) under Spiribacter sp. RNAcentral's name for it is "partial transfer-messenger RNA". It matches the Rfam family "transfer-messenger RNA", at positions 1 to 126 of the family's 374-position model. Rfam says of the family: Bacterial tmRNA, also known as 10Sa RNA or SsrA, is named for its dual tRNA and mRNA-like properties. Its role is to liberate the mRNA from a stalled ribosome. Lineage: Bacteria; Pseudomonadati; Pseudomonadota; Gammaproteobacteria; Chromatiales; Ectothiorhodospiraceae. The record is from RNAcentral.
GGGGACGACAUGGCUUCGACGCAGGUCGCGAACCUCCAGGUGCAUGUCGAGGACGUCACUCAACCUCGUUAAUCAUGUGGCAAAAAAGAUAGUUGCCAACGACGACAACUACGCACUCGCGGCCU